This is a microRNA precursor of Oryza sativa Indica Group (long-grained rice), 207 nucleotides long. It matches the Rfam family "MIR812 microRNA precursor family". The record is from Rfam. Lineage: Eukaryota; Viridiplantae; Streptophyta; Magnoliopsida; Poales; Poaceae.
AAUAAGUACAAUUGUGAGUUUCAACGUUCAAUUUUGACCAUCCGUCUUAUUUGAAAUAUUUUUAUGAUUAGUAUUUUUAUUGUUAUUAGAUGAUAAAAUAUAAAUAAUACUUUAUGCGUGACUUAACUUUUAAUUUUUUUUUCAUAAAUUCUUUAAAUAAGACGGACGGUCAAACGUUGGGUAUGAAAACUUAUGGCUGUACUUACA